Molecule: signal recognition particle RNA, 77 nt
Filed under: Cycloclasticus sp.
Lineage: Bacteria; Pseudomonadati; Pseudomonadota; Gammaproteobacteria; Thiotrichales; Piscirickettsiaceae
Description: partial signal recognition particle sRNA small type
Rfam family: Bacterial small signal recognition particle RNA
About the family: The signal recognition particle (SRP) is a universally conserved ribonucleoprotein involved in the co-translational targeting of proteins to membranes. Archaeal SRP consists of a 7S RNA and homologues of the eukaryotic SRP19 and SRP54 proteins.
Source: RNAcentral
GAAGUCGUGAACUCCGCCAGGCCCGGAAGGGAGCAACGGCAGCGACGGAAUCGUGUGCCGGGGUGUGGCUGGCAUGG